Molecule: long non-coding RNA, 304 nt
Filed under: Musa acuminata (dwarf banana)
Lineage: Eukaryota; Viridiplantae; Streptophyta; Magnoliopsida; Zingiberales; Musaceae
Description: long non-coding RNA (MACU_LNC010058)
Source: RNAcentral
AAGGGCCUGCCAUGUACAUAAGGAGUGUCUUUGUGAUCCCGGUCGAUCCCAUGUCCAACUGCUUGGGACCCACUUGUUAUUUCUUUGCCUAAUUUGAUUCCAUGCGGAUGUGGCACUAAAUUUGCCAUUGUCAUGAGGCCAAAUAAGUAUAUCUGAAGAGUUGUUCCUGAUUGGAAUAGCUAUGAUAGUCGGCCAAAGUGAUAACAUUUCGGGAGAAAUAGGAUUAGGGAGACACCAGGUGCCGUUAGCAAUGAACUUGGAAACCUUCCAAUCUUUGGGAGCCCUAAGAUCUUUUCGUAUUCUG